GUCUGAGGCGAAGAAAUAUACGACAGUGCUCUGCUCGUCUCUUUGGCGUCAGUCUUCUUCAGAAAUUGAUGAGAUGAUGAUGGGUCAUGGUUCUUGUGGUUAUGGAGGAGGAUCUUCACCUUCACCUUCUAAUUUAUCGGCUUUAGCUCCUCCUUUCACAGUUGAUCGGUCUGUACCAAAACCGGGUUCGAACCCACUUGUUGAUUUGACUGAACCGGCUUAUGCUGUUACCUUCAAUCCCUCUUUGCAGAAUUGGCUUGGCCCUCACCCUCCAAAUUCCAGACCCGAUUAUUUUUCUAUUUCAAAUCCGGAAUUUGAUUCUGUUCCGUCCUCAAAUGCAUAUAGGUUUUCUUCAUCCAAUGCCCAUGUGCCUGCUUUUGACGCUUCUGUCUCGGCCUCAACUGAUACCAUUUUGUAUGGCCAAGGUUCAACUAGCCUUCUUGAAGCUAAACCAUAUUAUCCCUCCUAUGUUUCACCCACAAUUUGCAGUGAUGGUCCCUUGGGGCUCUCCCACCAUUCUGGUUAUGAUUUAUUGACUACUUCUCAUGUUGCUACAUCCAACGGUUCCUCUCAUGAUGAUUACACCCAAAAUUUGUCUGGUUUGGAGCAUGUGGCCCAGUGGGGUGGCUUGUGGGAGGGACUUGCAGAUUGGCAGCAGAGUGAACAGGUGCAACUUGAUGCAAGUUUCUGCCCUAAUGAGAAAUUUAUUAAUCAAGGGUUGUAUGCUUCUGAUGGCAUGAGCAAAUAUGAAGAAGCUUCUUGUAGCAUUGAUACAGUUGGUGGGGAAAACCACAUUGAGUCUGCGGGCAUAGGACCAUUGGAUUAUUUUGCUAAGUUCGAACCUACUGACUAUCCUGCAACUUCAAGCUCAGCAUCUACUUUAGUUCCAGAAAACUUUCCUCUUCGGGCACCAUCCCUAAAAGCUGUCAAUUCCUGGAACCAUCAAAUGCCAUACAGUGCUUCACAUGAAAAAUGCUUCAGAAAGCAUGAUGCUAGUUUAAGUGAUAUUUCAAAAGUCAAGAAUUCUGCACCUACUGUCGUCAUUAGACCUCCAGAUACAAGUUCAUUUAGAAAUAUGAAUAAUAGCAGUGAUGAAGAUAAUAAAGAUUUUGCUAGCAACAACCUCUCUUGUGUGAAGGAACCUCAUCCAUUUAUAAGCUCCGAAUGCAAUGUUUGCUUUGAUGCUAGCCAAGUAAGAUUCCAACUGGAACAAAACGAUCAGGUCAUUUCGGAAUUUUCCUCCGCAAAAAAAGAAGAGCUGUCAAGCAAUAGAAGUUUUUCUGUGGAAACUUCGGAUCAUCUUUCAUGGGAAAAAUAUGGAAUUCAAGUUCCUCAUAGAAGUCCAGAUGGCUUCAAUUUAGUCAUUGAUAAAAAUGAAUCCAUCAAUCCUAUAAAGAAUUAUUCUGAGAGUUUUGAUCAUUACAACUCUGCAGUAGACUCUCCAUGCUGGAAAGGAGCUCCAGUUUCUCAUUUUUCUGAGUCUGAAGUUUCUGAUGUUGUUACUUCGCAGAAAAUGAAAAAGUUAGAGGCUUGCUGUGGCUCAAAUCUUCAAGGUCAUCAAAUUUUCAGUCUCAAUGCCAAUGAUGCUGCAAAAAUAUCCCCUGAAAAAUUCAGCGAAAGCUCAGUACAACAUGAUGGUUGGGCAAUGGAAAGUUGUUUAGCUGCUUCUCUGAAGAGGCCCUUGGUAGCUAAUUUGCUGCAUAGUGAGGGAAUUGAUGAUGCUGUGAAAUCUGGACCCCAUGAUACAAAUCCUAGCAGUUUCCAUGGUGUUCAAAUUUCUGAUGAUGCCCUGCCUAACAAAGCAAUUGAUAAUUCUGAUCAUAAAUCCCCUUACAAUGACCAAAAAUGUUGUGAAGAAGUUAAAUGGACAUCUGAAAAAAAUUGUGCACCCCGGGGUCAUGUUGCCGAUUUUGGGAUGAAUAUGAAUGAUGAUGCUGAUGACUGCUCAUCUCAUGUGCCAUUCCAUGCUAUAGAACAUGUAUUACGUUCACCACCUUCUGCAGAUGAUGCUCCUGCUAAGCUCACUAAAUCACAUGGAGGAGAAUCAACACAGAAGAUGUAUGUUAGAACACUGAUUGAUACCAUCAUGAACUUGUCAGAAUUACUUGUCUUUCAUUUUUCAAAUGACACAUGUGAAAUGAAGGAAGAUGAUUAUGAGGCACUUAAAGAUGUGAUCAAUAAUCUUGAUUUGUGUGUUUUAAAGAAUGUGGAGAGAAUGACUUCAACACAAAACUCUGUGAUUCCUCGGAGAGUCAAUUCUCAACUUGGAAAGUCAUCUAAGCUGCAGAAGGGUACAAGUAUGAAUGGUUCUCAGGUAUCUAGAAUUGAUCCUCCUAAUUCUCAAGGCUCAGUCAAAUAUCAGCGUUUUGGAAGAAGCUAUAUUUUAUAAAAUGUAGAAAUUGAAGCCCCAGUAGAUGAUUCCCCCCG
This 2427-nucleotide unclassified non-coding RNA is filed under the name Hevea brasiliensis (rubber tree). Lineage: Eukaryota; Viridiplantae; Streptophyta; Magnoliopsida; Malpighiales; Euphorbiaceae. The record is from RNAcentral.